CAUAACUUCAACCGAGAUAAACUUGUGCAGUAUCUUAAUCUAAGCUUGGUCUCGGUCCGUCUUCAUCUCGCCCGUUAAAGGGUCACCCCGCUUAUUCUUAUAUCGUCUCGCUCCCAUUGCAUCGUGUUUGCAGGUCUUCUUCUCCGCUUCUCUGAGGCAUUCCAGAUUGCAUCGCGUUUGCAGGUCUUCUUCCCCUCUUCUCCAGAAACAGUAGCAUGUGGACCAAAGAACAUCAAACAAGCGGCGAUGAUGACCCAAGUAUGCUAUCAUACGAAUUGAUAAAACAUAUUACAAAUAAUUUCGACAAGGAGCGAAUACUUGGGAGUGGUAAAUUCGGAACGACUUACAAGGAAGAAACCUAGAGUUCACCAGGCUGGCUGAAGUUAUGAGGCUGGGAGGCUGAUAGUGCUGCUACUGGCUGAUCCUUCUUCUUUCAGCUUUUGUUCGUCCUUUCUCAAGCCAUUGGACCAGGGCUAGUUCCCUAUGUGCUGUUAAUGUAUUAUGUAGUUCCUUCGAAUUUGUAGUAUUAGUUAGUUUGAAUGUGGAAGUACCUUAAUUUUUAGGAACGAAAUGUUGCUAUGUAUGACCAAGGGUUUGAUACCUUAAUCUUUGGAUAUUUAGUUAUGUGAA
Triticum aestivum (bread wheat) is the source of this 630-nucleotide long non-coding RNA. RefSeq lists it as uncharacterized. Lineage: Eukaryota; Viridiplantae; Streptophyta; Magnoliopsida; Poales; Poaceae. The transcript is spliced from 3 exons. The record is from RefSeq and is a predicted model, not a curated record.